Tympanuchus pallidicinctus (lesser prairie-chicken) is the source of this 7135-nucleotide long non-coding RNA. RefSeq lists it as uncharacterized. The record is from RefSeq and is a predicted model, not a curated record. The transcript has 4 exons. Lineage: Eukaryota; Metazoa; Chordata; Aves; Galliformes; Phasianidae.
AGCACGUGGACAGGGAUAGGGGACAGAGGUGGAGGAUGGUGGUGGAUGGUGAUGGAUACGCUGGGGAUGUGGAACAUGGUCUUAGACUAGAUAGGGAGUGGAGUCUGCAGUGGGAGAUAGGGAAUGAGGGAUGGGAGCCAGGGAUGGGGAAGUCAGAGAUAGGCACAAGGGACAGGGGGAAGGCAGGAGGGAUGGGAGUGGGGUGGGGAGCAGGAUGUUGGGGUCUGGUUCUGGAGCCCACGGACGGACAGGGACAGGGGCUGAGAAUGUGAACGACUGAAAGAGUCCAAAGACAAGGGAGAGCAGUUAGGAGAUAGGAGCAGGGCCUGGAGGUGGGGGUUAAGUCACAGGGACAGGAGAUUGGGGCAUGGGGGUGGCUGAUAGAGCCCAAGGCUCCGGGCUGGUGUCCCAAGGUCGCAGAUCUUGAGGUUAUUGUACAAAAGCUCUCAUACAUAAAGCUUGCUGUACUGCGCUGCGUUGAUGUGCACUGCAAUUAAUCACACUGUGACUUCAAGAGUGAUAACGUGUUCCUGGUGUAACUUUUUAUUGCAGACGGAGAAAAUAGGUCGGUCUGGUCGGGGUGCAAUGAGUCAACCAUUAAAGGCAGAGCUGUUCCCAGCUCCCAGCUCAGCGUUCCGCGUUAUCGACGAGAUUAAGGACCAGGAUGUCAUGGAGAGGUGACAAAGGUCCUGGUGUUGUGGGCAGAGCUGGGAGUGGGCUGCUCAGUCUGGGUGCCCCUCACAGCACCAGAGGGCCACGCCAGCACCAGCACUGACUGCUCCCUGUGUUUAGAAAUUAGAGGAAGGAUUUGAAGUGUGCAAGAGUUUGGCACGUGGAAUAGAGCCCAGCUCUGCUAUGGGCUAAACAAUCUCAGAAGAAAAAUCUUGCCCUGAGGAAACUGGAACACUCUAGGUUGUGUUUCUGGGACCUUCACCAAGAGCCUCUUCUCACCCGUUGCACUGGAUGAAGCUCAGAGGUCAUCUCCUCCAUCGCUCUCAUCAUGGGGGAUCAACCACUGCCAUCCAGUUGGGUUCCUGGGACCUCAGUGAUGGAGAGGUCUUUUGGGUUGGUGUGUAGUGGAAGUACUUCCUUAAUCAAGCAGAAUGACAUCUCUAAGAUGAUCUGAUGAUGUCUCUUCAUGUCAGAUUGAGUUGUGUCUUCUACUCUCUUGCAUUUUGUAGCACUGCUUCCUCAUGUCAAGCACUGGCACAGGGAGGUGGUGCAUUCCCCAUCCCUGGAGAUGUUCAAGAGCCACGGGGAUGUGGCACUGAGGAACACGGUUCCCAUAUGGUAGCUCAGAAGGGUCAGCCAAAUCCUGGCACCACACACCGUUACCAGACUCAGUGAUGUGAGCCUGGCCUGACAGUCCUGCGGUUCUCUUAGAAGGAUGAGCAGUGUCACUAUGGUUUACUCCACAACAAACCUUCCACCAAGGUUGCUGGGAGGGAAUCGCUCGGGCAGAGCUCUCCAGUUCAUUCAGGCACAAUCUUGGUGGAUGUGGCCCACAGCCAGAACAGCUCUGACCUCCAUUAUGUAUUCAGUGACUCAAAGAAACGUUCCUGAGGCUGUGACAAAAGAGAAGAAAAACAAGGAAAUGUACGUGUGAGGCUGUGCUGCAGGCUGCACGCACCGGGGGUGCAUUUAGGAAGUAGUUAAGGAAGCUCCUCGCUGCGCCUGGGGAGCUGGGUCAGAGCUGGGGCGAGUUUCUGUGUCACUUUGGCUUCUCUCCAUUGUCCUUUGAGCCAUCUCAGGUCAGCGUGGCUUCUCCAAGCUCCCCAUGCUGCCAGGAGGUGGGGAUUCUGCUCACGAAGCAAAGGUCCGUGCACACACUUCUCUUCUCUCAAUGACGUUGGUGAGGUAAAUCCUGUCUCUGCUUUGUCCCCAGUAACUGUAGGUCAGCAUCCUCUCGGGGCAGCCAGUCCUGCUGGAACCAUCCCACCUGGGUUAAGCACUCGUCAGAACAUCUCUGAUAAGGAGGAUCCUCUGGAAGAGCUGAACUGGGAGAGUGGGCUGGCAUGCAUUUAUGUUGGCAGGUCUUUGGAGACCCAGGAAGCGCACCAAGGACUGGGAGAACUCAUUGAUAGCAGCCCUGCAGUGAAGAACUUGGAGAUCCUGGUGGAUGAAAAGCUGGAUGUGAGCCUGCAGUGUGCUCUUGCAGCCUGGAAGGCCAGUAGCACCCUGGGCUGCAUCAAUAGAGAGGUGGCAGCAGGCAGGGUGGGUUGUUACACACCUCAGGACCCAGGAGUCAGACCAGCUCCUCAUCCGGUGUCACUUAGAAGCUUGGCUCCUUUGUUGCUUUGUUGACUUUAGUUUCCAUACCUGCAGGAAGCUGACAACCGUUGGAUUUAGCAUAACAAAAAAAAGUGGGGCAAGUACAUGGCACUGCUUACUGAUUGAUCUUGAGCUGUUUUACUGAGGCAUUAUACCAGUAGGGAAGCAGACAAAUCGUGCUGCAGUCAGUAUCAUGCAAUAAGAGCCAUUGAUUCAUAGAGUCAUUGAGAUUGGAGAAGACCUUUAAGAUCAUCCAAUCCAACCUUCAAGCUAUCCCCACCAUGCCCACUCAUAGAAUCAUUAAGGUUGGAAAAGAUCUCUAGGAUCAUCAAGUCCAAUCCUAUGGUAGAAUAACAGAGCGGGAGGUGAGGAAAUGGAAAUUUGGGAAGGAAUUUAGCUUUGUGAUGUGGGAAUGAUUGUGCUUGCCUUUGUUUAUCAAAAGCUCUGAGAUUCUGAAUGUAAAAAGCUUUACAAUCUUGAAAAUGCAGUUUAGCAAUGCUCAGUGUCUUUUUAACCUCAACAGCAUCAGUCUUCAGGCAUUAAUGAAGUUCCCACCCUUCCUUCUCUGUUCUUCUGUAUUAGAGACCUGCUGCUUCUCUCCUGUACGUGGGACAAAGAAGGACCAUGGAGGUUUGUAGCACCAAGACUCACAUAGGAAGGAUUUGGAAAACUCUCUGCUCCUACCUGCUGCUCAAAGCAGGGUCUGCUCUCAGGUUGGGUCAGGUUGUGAAGGGUUUUAUCCAGUCAUAGAAUCGUUAAGGUUGGAGAAGAACCUCCAAGAUUUACCAAGCUCAACCCCAACCCACCCCAUCGUGCCCAUUGACCUCAGUGCCACCUCUCCACGAUUCAGGAACACCUCCAGGAAUGAAUGGUGACUCCACAGCCCCCUGAGCAGCCUUUACCACUGCAUGACCUUUGGAGAAGAGGUUUUUCUCUUCUGUCCAACCUGAACCUUCCCUGGUGCAACGUGAGCCUGCUUAAACAUAAGUGAGACCAGGACCAGACUUCGUUCCAAAAAAGAAAUCCUUCGGUGGAAGAGCUUCAGUAAACUAACUGUAAACCUGAGGGAGGUCUGCAAUACCCCAACAUACACUGUGCUCUGAAGGUGAAAAGUUUAAUACUACAGUUACUAGGUCAGGAAAACAUCCCAGAUGUAGAAGGCAGGAAACUUAAAGGAGGAAAAAACAGAAGAUGAAAAGACACUGAAAAAAAAACACAAAUGAUGAUUAAUGUCUUCAGAGCAACGCUGAACAUCAGUGUCAAGCCAGGAGCAAAAUGACAGAGAAGCAGAAUAGCUGCAGUGACACGAAGGAACAGAGAGAAACGGAAUGAGAGAGAAAGUUCAUGGGACCGCGGGAGGAAGAGGAUGUCUGGAUUUUAUUACCAGCAAAGCAGACGUGAUGCCAGCCGAGUAACGUGGUUGUUGUGAGUGCUGGAGGGCUCUGCAGGGGCACAUGCGUCACAUGAGCUGAUUUUAACACUUACUGAGUGUGUAAUUUCCUUCCCUGCCCUUUGCCAGGUAAAAAAUUGACGCAUUCAAGUGAAGAUCUGUAUCCGCUCAGAGCUCUCAUGAAGCUGGGGGAUUCAGCCUACAGCAAGGGGCUCUUCUGCUCAGUGCACAGCAGCACAUCUCUGGGGCUCUACAAUUUGGAGCUGUGUGGGGCUCUGAGCAAUGAUGCUUUGGGAUAAUGAGCAUCCCUGCCUUAAAACCCAUGGAGUAAUGGGUUGGUCUUGUAGAAUCAAAGAAGGCUUUGAGUGGGGAGGACCCUUAAAGCCCAGUUGGUCCAAAUCCCUGCAGUGCACAGGGAGACCCGCAGCUCCAUCCUUGUGGUCCUUUUCAACCCAAGCCAUUCUGUGAUCAUCUCUGGGCAACCUGUUCCAGAGCUCCACAGGUCUUCAGCUCAUUCCACUCUGGGAGCCAUUGCAGUGGGUGAUUUCAGAAGUGCAGUGGGAUGAAGGAGAAUGGCCUCACUUCAGCUACAGUUUGCACAAGAUGAAGUGCAAUGCAGCUCAGCUCUUUCUAUUCCCAGCAAGAGCAGCAGAGCCUGCAGCAAGCAGGAGCUUCCAGCAAGCGUGGUGUGCAGCUGUCUCCUGCUGACCGAGGGAGGGAACUGCAUGAGAUGAGGUGAUGUGACAGCAAAUCUGACUGAAAAAAAAAAAAUUAAUUAAUUAAAGACAUUGACUAAUGAUGAGUUUAUUAAGCCACGUAUGGAAAGAGUGGCAGAUAUCAUUUGUCCUGAUUAAAAAAAAAAAAAAAAACAAAAAAAAAAACCAUGGAUUUUUCUCAAACCAUUUUGUCUCACAGAAUUGUAGGGGUUGGAAGGGACCUCCAGAGAUCAUCGAGUCCAACCCCCUGCCAAAGCAGGUUCCCUACAGCAGGUCGCACAGGUCGGCAUCCAGGCAGGUCUUGAACCAGACUAGAGCCAGGUGAACUGAAGAAAAAGGAAAAUCUACAGAAAGAAAUUUGGAGAGCGGAGCUGCCAAUUUCAAAUGUGAUGCUUUGGCAAGAAAUAGAAGUAGUGAUGCUACAGAUAGGGCUCAACAGAGUUCUCAGAGAGACGUCCCAUCCCUGGGGACAUUUGAGGUGAGGCUGGGCAGGACUCUGAACACCUGAUGGAGCUGUGGGUGUCUCUGUGCAUUGCAGAGUGGGACUUGAUGGCCUUUAAGCGUUCCUUCCAACUCAAAGCACUCCAUGAUUCAACUUGCUGUGUUUAUUAGGAGUAUUGAUAACAGAUGAAUGUCAUUGAAGGAAUGGCUGCUUCGGCGUUGCUGAAGGACACAACUCAAGUCUCUCCGUCUGUAUGAAGCAGUAAAAACUACAAUGAAGCAGUUUUCUUUAUCCUUUGUCAACGUAUCUGAUAUAUCCCAUAUCUGAUGGCACUCCAGCAAUUUUUGGUAAAAAGAGGAACUCAUAAAAUUAACAGAAGGUAAGGCAAUAGAAGAUGAUGUAAAUUUUGCCAGCAGCUCAUGUUUGAUGAAGUCGCACUGCAUCAUACAUCAAGCUACGGCAGGGGAGAUUCAGGCUGGGCAUGAGGAAGUAUUACUUGUCAGAAAGGGUGGUCAGGCACUGCAAUGGAUGCACAGGGAGGUGGUGGAGGCACCGAGCCUGGGGGUGUUCAAGGAAAGGCUGGAUGUUGUGUUGAGGGACGUGGUUUAGUGGGAGCUGUUGGGAAUAGGUGAACGGUUGGACUGGAUGAGCUUUUAGGUCUUUUCCAACCUUGGUGAUUCUAUGAUUCUAAGAACAUUUCUAUGCACAAAAGCUUGGAAAAUGGAUAAUGUUGUGCAAAUCAUCAUCAAAGCUGUGAAUUUCAUAAUGUCAAGGGACCAAAUCUUGGCCAGUUCCAGGAGUUCCUUAAAAGUACAGGUGUUGAUGAUGGGGUGAUCAUUUGCUUUUCUGAAGUCAGGUGGGUCAUUUAUGAUGAAGUGCUAAAAAGAAGUCAUCAUUUACAAAAUGACAUCAAGUUGUUGAUGGGAACAAAAGGAAAACUGGUCCCAAAACUUGAAGAUGAAAAUUGCUCACAGAGAUAGCACUUCUGGUGGAUUGGACUGCUUGUUUGAAUGAGUUAAACACACAUCCUCAAGAUGAAAAUCAACUUGUUGGGGCUGUGUUUCAGACCAUAACAGUGUUCAAAAUGAAACUUAAAUUCUGGCAAGCUGAAGGCAUGGCAAAUAAUUUUAUGCACGUUGAGACAUUGGAUAAACACAGUCAUCAUAGAAUGACAGAAUGGCCUGGGUUGCACAGGAGCACAGCGCUCAUCCAGCUCCAAGCCCUGCUGUGUGCAGGUCGCCAAGCAGCAGCCCAGGCUGCCCAGAGCCACAUCCAGCCUGGCCUUGAAUGCCUGCAGGGAUGGGGCAUCCAGUCCUGUAAACAGUGAAAAAUAAGCAGCCUUGCUUUAUGUUUUGAUAAACGAAUUUGAGAAUGGGUUUCAAUAUCACUGAAAAAGUCAUCAAUUUUUGAUAUGUUUGUGAAUCCGUUUUGAGUCGGCUUCAAUAGAUGACCCGUGAAUUUCCAAAUGGAAUGCACAGAUGCAGUUGGACAAUCUGCACAAGGAAAACGUGGAUCACAUCUCUACCAGACUUCUAAAAGACCUGUCUUACCAGAGAAGAAUAUCCCCCUCAACGUGGCCCAGCCAAGCCAAUAGCUGGACACCCGCAGGGUAUAUAACACAGGAGGAGGCAAGGAGCUUUCUUGGCCUGGACACAGAACACUGAGUUGACUUUGCUCCCAUAUCCCUUCCCUAUGACACAGGAGGAGUGCACCAUGCUGGAUUUGAGAAGAUGCUUUUCUAUUCUGUUCUUUCUUGGAAGAUUUGCAUUAUUUCCUAGCUGUUGCUCUUGUUUGUCUUCUUUAAUUGCACACCUGCUGGGGAAAAUGAUGUGCAGGGCUGCUAGAAAACACACUGCUCUGCCACAGCUCCUCCUGUGCCCAUCCUCCUAUUGAGUAAAUGUCAGAUACUCCAUGCUGAGGCACACUAAUUGCCUUGAAAUAAAAGACGUCAAGAACAAGAGUCCGUUAGGGAUCCAUCCUGUCCAUCUCUUCAUGCAGCCCUGAGAACAGGCGCGGAAUGAGAUGGAAUCAGAAAUGCCAGCUACCAGUGUGACUCAAACUGGGAAAUUCUCAUGAUGGUUUUGAAGCCAUUCAUGUCAGUCAUCUUUCUUAAGAUGUGACAGCUUAUGCUUUUUUUGGGUGAUGCUGUGUGGAGCCAGGAGCUGGACUCGAUGAUCCUUAUGGGUCCCUUCCAACUCAGGAUAUUCUGUGAUUCUAUGAUCCUACUUGGUGGGAGACAUUAUAUUCUUUUUCCUGAUAUAUUCCCAGAUGCUUUUUUGUCCUAUAGUGCUUAAACCUUGUGCUUUUAUUUCUUUA